Molecule: ribosomal RNA, 229 nt
Filed under: uncultured bacterium
Lineage: Bacteria
Description: partial 16S ribosomal RNA
Rfam family: Bacterial small subunit ribosomal RNA
Source: RNAcentral
UGCGUAGGCGGGCUAAUAAGUCAGUGGUGAAAUCUUUCGGCUCAACCGAGAAACUGCCAUUGAUACUGUUAGUCUUGAGUUCGGUUGAGGUAGGCGGAAUGUGUAAUGUAGCGGUGAAAUGCUUAGAUAUUACACAGAACACCAAUUGCGUAGGCAGCUUACUAGACCGACACUGACGCUGAGGCACGAAAGCGUGUGGAGCGAACAGGAUUAGAUACCCUGGUAGUCC